This 281-nucleotide long non-coding RNA is filed under the name Medicago truncatula (barrel medic). RNAcentral describes it as "long non-coding RNA (MTRU_LNC000766)". The record is from RNAcentral. Lineage: Eukaryota; Viridiplantae; Streptophyta; Magnoliopsida; Fabales; Fabaceae.
UAUUUUGUAAAAAACCAAAACAAAUUUCUAACUAUUAUUGAGUUUUUUCCCUAUUUAUAGUUCUACUGAUUUCCUCUUUGCUAAUUUUGACAGUUAGAGACUGAGCUUUUAACUCAACCAAUUUGGUUUAUCUUCAAAACUAAGUGGCUCCAAGAAACUCGUCAUCGAAGUUGUUGGCUUUGCUAAUAUUGGAGUAUGAUCUGAUUGUGAAAUUGAAAUAAACUUAUUUAAUAUGAGCUAGCUGUGUUCUUUCAUAACAUGAGAUCUAUUUUGCUUACUUG